GUUUGUGUAGUGGAUGCUCUGCGUGAGUGUGUAGAUGAUGCAGUGUGAGUGUGUAGUAUAUGCAGUCUGUGUAGUAGUGGAUGCAGUGUGUGUAGUGGGUGCAGUUUGUGUAUGUGAAGUGGGUGCAGUUUGUGUGUAGUGGGUGCAUUGUGUGUGUAUAUUGUGAAUGCUGUGGAUAUUUGUGUAGUGGAUGCAGGGUGUAUAGUGACUGCUCUGUGU
Pelobates cultripes (western spadefoot toad) is the source of this 219-nucleotide non-coding RNA. The record is from the annotation of a GenBank genome assembly. Lineage: Eukaryota; Metazoa; Chordata; Amphibia; Anura; Pelobatidae.